This 1019-nucleotide ribosomal RNA is filed under the name uncultured bacterium. RNAcentral's name for it is "bacterial SSU rRNA". It matches the Rfam family "Bacterial small subunit ribosomal RNA", at positions 8 to 1058 of the family's 1533-position model. The record is from RNAcentral.
AGAGUUUGAUCAUGGCUCAGAAUCAACGCUGGCGGCGCGCCUAACACAUGCAAGUCGAACGAGAAAGUGGAGCAAUCCAUGAGUACAGUGGCGUACGGGUGAGUAACACGUGGGUUAUCUGCCUCUUAGUGUGGAAUAACCCUGGGAAACCGGGGCUAAUACCGCAUAAGCUCGAGAGAGGAAAGCAGCAAUGCGCUGAGAGAGGAGCCCGCGGCCGAUUAGCUAGUUGGCAGGGUAAAAGCCUACCAAGGCAAAGAUCGGUAGCCGGCCUGAGAGGGCACACGGCCACACUGGCACUGAAACACGGGCCAGACUCCUACGGGAGGCAGCAGUGGGGAAUCUUGCACAAUGGGGGAAACCCUGAUGCAGCGACGCCGCGUGAGCGAUGAAGCCCUUCGGGGUGUAAAGCUCUUUCGGCAGGGAAGAUGAUGACGGUACCUGCAGAAGCAGCUGCGGCUAACUACGUGCCAGCAGCCGCGGUAAUACGUAGGCAGCAAGCGUUGUUCGGAGUUACUGGGCGUAAAGGGUGUGUAGGCGGUUGUUUAAGUUUGGUGUGAAAUCUCCCGGCUCAACUGGGAGGGUGCGCCGAAUACUGAAUGACUCGAGUGCGGGAGAGGAGAGUGGAAUUCCUGGUGUAGCGGUGAAAUGCGUAGAUAUCAGGAGGAACACCGGCGGUGUAGACGGCUCUCUGGACCGUAACUGACGCUGAAACACGAAAGCGUGGGUAGCAAACAGGAUUAGAUACCCUGGUAGUCCACGCCCUAAACGAUGCAUAUUUGGUGUGGGUCAUUCAGUUGAUCCGUGCCGGAGCUAACGCGUUAAAUAUGCCGCCUGGGGAGUACAGUCGCGAGGCUGAAACUCAAAGGAAUUGACGGGGGCCCGCACAAGCGGUGGAGCAUGUGGUUCAAUUCGACGCAACGCGAAGAACCUUACCUGGGCUCGAACGGCCGGUUACCGGCGGUGGAAACAUCGCUACCCCGCAAGGGGGUCCGGUCGAGGUGCUGCAUGGCUGUCGUCAG